Molecule: ribosomal RNA, 1216 nt
Filed under: Mesorhizobium sp.
Lineage: Bacteria; Pseudomonadati; Pseudomonadota; Alphaproteobacteria; Hyphomicrobiales; Phyllobacteriaceae
Description: partial 23S ribosomal RNA
Rfam family: Bacterial large subunit ribosomal RNA
Source: RNAcentral
GGGUUGUGAGGUUAAGCGACUAAGCGUACACGGUGGAUGCCCUGGCAGUCAGAGGCGAUGAAGGACGUGCUAAUCUGCGAAAAGCGCCGGCGAGGUGAUAUGAACCUUUGACCCGGCGAUGUCCGAAUGGGGAAACCCAGUGUGAUUCGUCACACUAUCGUUAACUGAAUACAUAGGUUAACGAGGCGAACCGGGGGAACUGAAACAUCUAAGUACCCCGAGGAAAAGAAAUCAACCGAGAUUCCCCCAGUAGCGGCGAGCGAACGGGGAGCAGCCCGGAGUCUGAAUCAGCUUGUGUGUUAGUGGAAGCGUCUGGAAAGUCGCACGGUACAGGGUGACAGUCCCGUACACGAAAAUGCACAGGUUGUGAACUCGAAGAGUAGGGCGGGACACGUGGUAUCCUGUCUGAAUAUGGGGGGACCAUCCUCCAAGGCUAAAUACUCCUGACUGACCGAUAGUGAACCAGUACCGUGAGGGAAAGGCGAAAAGAACCCCGGCGAGGGGAGUGAAAAAGAACCUGAAACCGUGUACGUACAAGCAGUGGGAGCACCUUCGUGGUGUGACUGCGUACCUUUUGUAUAAUGGGUCAGCGACUUAUAUUCUGUAGCAAGGUUAACCGUAUAGGGGAGCCGAAGGGAAACCGAGUCUUAACUGGGCGUUAAGUUGCAGGGUAUAGACCCGAAACCCGGUGAUCUAGCCAUGGGCAGGUUGAAGGUUGGGUAACACUAACUGGAGGACCGAACCGACUAAUGUUGAAAAAUUAGCGGAUGACCUGUGGCUGGGGGUGAAAGGCCAAUCAAACCGGGAGAUAGCUGGUUCUCCCCGAAAGCUAUUUAGGUAGCGCCUCGUGAACUCAUCUUCGGGGGUAGAGCACUGUUUCGGCUAGGGGGCCAUCCCGGCUUACCAACCCGAUGCAAACUACGAAUACCGAAGAAUGUUAUCACGGGAGACACACGGCGGGUGCUAACGUCCGUCGUGAAGAGGGAAACAACCCAGACCGCCAGCUAAGGUCCCAAAGUCAUGGUUAAGUGGGAAACGAUGUGGGAAGGCACAGACAGCCAGGAUGUUGGCUUAGAAGCAGCCAUCAUUUAAAGAAAGCGUAAUAGCUCACUGGUCGAGUCGGCCUGCGCGGAAGAUGUAACGGGGCUAAACCAUGCACCGAAGCUGCGGCAGCGACACUAUGUGUUGUUGGGUAGGGGAGCGUUCUGUAAGCCGU